CCUACGGGAGGCAGCAGUGGGGGAUAUUGCACAAUGGGGGAAACCCUGAUGCAGCGACGCCGCGUGGGUGAAGAAGGAUUUCGGGAUGUAAAGCCCUAUCAGUAGGGAAGAAGGAAUGACGGUACCUGUGUUAGAAGCACCGGCUAAAUACGUGCCAGCAGCCGCGGUAAUACGUAGGGUGCAAGCGUUAUCCGGAUUUACUGGGUGUAAAGGGAGCGCAGGCGGGGCGGCAAGCCUGAUGUGAAAGCCCGUGGCCCAACCGGGGGACUGCAUUGGGAACUGCCUGGCUGGAGUGCCGGAGAGGUAGGCGGAAUUCCUAGUGUAGCGGUGAAAUGCGUAGAUAUUAGGAGGAACACCAGUGGCGAAGGCGGCCUACUGGACGGUGACUGACGCUGAGGCUCGAAAGCGUGGGGAGCAAACAGGAUUAGAUACCCCGGUAGUC
Molecule: ribosomal RNA, 442 nt
Filed under: uncultured bacterium
Lineage: Bacteria
Description: partial 16S ribosomal RNA
Rfam family: Bacterial small subunit ribosomal RNA
Source: RNAcentral